GAUGAUUCAACUAUAUAUCGAUGCCAUCUUCUUCCUUUGGAUUCCACUUCAAAUUUUUGAAGAAAUUCCACUGUUUUCUUUGGGAAUUUUCUUGGUUGGUCACUGGGUAAAGGAUUGCUGGAAUCUCCUUUGUGAUGUUGAUAGACCAAAAUAGACAUCUUCCCUCUUAUGUGACCUUUUAUGUGCUUGAAAAGAACAUCCUGAGAAUUUUUUUAGAAGUAUCACUAGGUGUACCCUAGUACAUACUUGGG
This 251-nucleotide long non-coding RNA is filed under the name Elaeis guineensis (African oil palm). Its description in RNAcentral is "long non-coding RNA (EGUI_LNC073140)". Lineage: Eukaryota; Viridiplantae; Streptophyta; Magnoliopsida; Arecales; Arecaceae. The record is from RNAcentral.